UCCGGUUUAUCACCGGCAGUCUCCACAGAGUCCUCGCCAUUACGCGUUAGUAACUGUGAACAAGGGUUGCGCUCGUUGCGGGACUUAACCCAACAUCUCACGACACGAGCUGACGACAACCAUGCACCACCUGUGAACCGGCCCCAAAGGGGAAACCACAUCUCUGCGGCGAUCCGGCCCAUGUCAAGCCUUGGUAAGGUUCUUCGCGUUGCAUCGAAUUAAUCCGCAUGCUCCGCCGCUUGUGCGGGCCCCCGUCAAUUCCUUUGAGUUUUAAUCUUGCGACCGUACUCCCCAGGCGGGAUACUUAAAGCGUUAACUGCGCCACUGACCAGCAAGCUGGCCAACGGCUAGCAUCCAUCGUUUACGGCGUGGACUAC
Molecule: unclassified non-coding RNA, 377 nt
Filed under: uncultured bacterium
Lineage: Bacteria
Description: contains 16S-23S intergenic spacer region
Source: RNAcentral